This 396-nucleotide ribosomal RNA is filed under the name bacterium enrichment culture. RNAcentral describes it as "bacterial SSU rRNA". It matches the Rfam family "Bacterial small subunit ribosomal RNA", at positions 521 to 916 of the family's 1533-position model. The record is from RNAcentral.
UAACACGGGGGUUGCAAGCGUUGUCCGGAAUUACUAGGCGUAAAGGGCAGGUAGGCGGAUAGAUAAGUUUUUUGUCAAAGGCGACGGCUCACCCGUCGUAUGGCAGGAGAUACUGUUUAUCUGGAAUGCGGUUGGGGAAGACAGAAUUCCUGGUGUAGCGGUGGAAUGCGCAGAGAUCAGGAGGAAUACCGAAGGCGAAGGCAGUCUUCUAAGCCGUUAUUGACGCUAAACUGCGAAGGUGUGGGUAUCAAACAGGAUUAGAUACCCUGGUAGUCCACACAGUAAACGAUAAUCACUAGGUGUCGGUGUCGUAGAGACUUCGGUGCCGUAGCUAACGCGAUAAGUGAUUCGCCUGGGGAGUACGAUCGCAAGGUUGAAACUCAAAGGAAUUGACGG